Molecule: ribosomal RNA, 747 nt
Filed under: uncultured bacterium
Lineage: Bacteria
Description: bacterial SSU rRNA
Rfam family: Bacterial small subunit ribosomal RNA
Source: RNAcentral
GAGUUUGAUCCUGGCUCAAGAUGAACGCUGGCGGCGUGCUUAACACAUGCAAGUCGAACGGGGAUGCCAUUUUCGAGGCGGUUAGUUUACUAAGCGCCAAGAUGCUGGCAUCUUAGUGGCGGACGGGUGAGUAACGCGUGGGUAACCUGCCUUAUACAGGGGGAUAACACUUAGAAAUAGGUGCUAAUACCGCAUAAGCGCACGGGCUGCAUGGCCCAGUGUGAAAAACUCCGGUGGUAUAAGAUGGACCCGCGUCUGAUUAGCUUGUUGGCGGGGUAACGGCCCACCAAGGCGACGAUCAGUAGCCGGCCUGAGAGGGUGGACGGCCACAUUGGGACUGAGACACGGCCCAAACUCCUACGGGAGGCAGCAGUGGGGAAUAUUGGACAAUGGGGGGAACCCUGAUCCAGCGACGCCGCGUGAGUGAAGAAGUAUUUCGGUAUGUAAAGCUCUAUCAGCAGGGAAGAAAGAAAUGACGGUACCUGACUAAGAAGCCCCGGCUAACUACGUGCCAGCAGCCGCGGUAAUACGUAGGGGGCAAGCGUUAUCCGGAUUUACUGGGUGUAAAGGGAGCGUAGACGGUUAUGCAAGUCUGGAGUGAAAGGCGGGGGCCCAACCCCCGGACUGCUUUGGAAACUGUGUAACUGGAGUGCANGAGAGGUAAGUGGAAUUCCUAGUGUAGCGGUGAAAUGCGUAGAUAUUAGGAGGAACACCAGUGGCGAAGGCGGCUUACUGGACUGGUACUGA